This 204-nucleotide ribosomal RNA is filed under the name uncultured Anoxybacillus sp. RNAcentral's name for it is "partial 16S ribosomal RNA". It matches the Rfam family "Bacterial small subunit ribosomal RNA", at positions 1180 to 1382 of the family's 1533-position model. The record is from RNAcentral. Lineage: Bacteria; Bacillati; Bacillota; Bacilli; Caryophanales; Anoxybacillaceae.
UGACGUCAAAUCAUCAUGCCCCUUAUGGACCUGGGCUACACACGUGCUACAAUGGGCGGUACAAAGGGUCGCGAACCCGCGAGGGGGGAGCCAAUCCAAAAGACCGCUCUCAGUUCGGAUUGCAGGCUGCAACUCGCCUGCAUGAAGCCGGAAUCGCUAGUAAUCGCGGAUCAGCAUGCCGCGGUGAAUACGUUCCCGGGCCUU